UUUUGAUUGGAGUACAGUUGCUUUACAAUAUUGGGUUAGUUUCGACUGUACAGCAAAAGGAAUCAGCCAUAGAUAUACACAUAUCCCCUCCCUUUGGGACUUCCUUCCCAGUGGGGUCACCACAGAACUUUAUUUAAGUAGAGUUCCCUGUACUAUACGGCAUGUUCUCAGUAGUCACAAAUCUCAGUAUCUUAAUGCAAUACAGAUUUUUCUCACACACACAUUCCAUUGUAAGUUGUGUGAUCCUCUGGACGGGAAUCAAGGCUGCUUCUGUCUUGAGGCGUCGUGUUCAAUACGCCCCAGCUUCUGAGCGACUGUGGCAGAGAAACAAGAACGCAGAACGUCACACCUGCUUCUAAACGCUUUGGAUUGGAAGAGACGCGGAAGGCUCCUGCUCACACGCCAUUGGCUGGUUCUGGUCACGUGGGCCCUGCUUGGGCGCAGGGGAGGCUGGGAGAUGCAGCCUUGACUGGGGCUCAGAGGAGGAAACGGCUUGGUGAGCGGGUGGCCUUGACUCUCCUGCAGGGAGUUACGUGGCCAGAGCCCAGAACGAGAAGCUCGCAUCACGGAGCAGUCUCUAGGAAAUACCGGGGUGGCAGAAAUCACAUGUGGAAAAUCCUUGAUUUCUCUGAACUCAUUGCUCAUCUGAAAAAUGAAGGCUCUCAUCAGGGGAUAUAGCUGCUGAUUCCCAGGACGUGACUCUUCAGGCCAUUUUCUGCCAAACCG
This 726-nucleotide long non-coding RNA is filed under the name Bos indicus x Bos taurus (hybrid cattle). RNAcentral describes it as "lncRNA (ENSBIXG00000012360.1)". The record is from RNAcentral. Lineage: Eukaryota; Metazoa; Chordata; Mammalia; Artiodactyla; Bovidae.